GCGUAAAUGGUUUAGUGGUAAAAUCCAUCGUUGCCAUUGUUUAACAAUAUUCGAUGGGCCCCCGGUUCGAUUCCGGGUUUACGCA
Gnomoniopsis sp. IMI 355080 is the source of this 85-nucleotide non-coding RNA. The record is from the annotation of a GenBank genome assembly. Lineage: Eukaryota; Fungi; Ascomycota; Sordariomycetes; Diaporthales; Gnomoniaceae.